AGAGUUUGAUCCUGGCUCAGAACGAACGCUGGCGGCGUGGCUAAGGCAUGCAAGUCGAGCGAACAUGUUCCAAGGGCAACCGCGGGGCAUGUUAGCGGCGGACGGGUGAGGAAUGCUUGGAUAACGUACCCUGGACUCGGGGAUAGCGGCGGGGGCAACCCCUUUGCGAAAGUGCCGGUAAUACCCGAUGACCCCACGGAAUCGCAUGAUUCUGCGGGCAAAGCUCCGACGGUCCGGGAGCGGUUCAUGUCCUAUCAGCUUGUUGGUGAGGUAACGGCUCACCAAGGCAACGACGGGUAGCGGGCGUGAGAGCGUGACCCGCCACAUCGGGACUGAGACACUGCCCGGACACCUACGGGUGGCUGCAGCAACGAAUAUUCCGCAAUGGACGAAAGUCUGACGGAGCGACGUCGCGUGUAGGAAGAAGUCCUUCGGGAUGUAAACUACUGUCAGGGGCUAGGAAGAUCUGACCAGCCCCAGAGGAAGCACUGGCUAACUCCGUGCCAGCAGCCGCGGUAAUACGGAGAGUGCAAGCGUUGUUCGGAAUUACUGGGCUUAAAGCGCGUGUAGGCGGGAUGUCAGGUGUCCUGUGAAAGCCCCGGGCUCAACCCGGGAACGGCAGGGGAAACCGGCAUUCUUGAGGCAGGGUAGAGGUCACUGGAACAAGUGGUGGAGCGGUGAAAUGCGUAGAUAUCACUUGGAACGCCGGAGGCGAAAGCGGGUGGCUGGACCUGUCCUGACGCUGAGACGCGAAAGCGUGGGUAGCGAACAGGAUUAGAUACCCUGGUAGUCCACGCCGUAAACGAUGCGCACUAGGUAUGGGAGGUUUUGACGCCGACCGUGCCGAAGCAAAAGUGGUAAGUGCGCCGCCUGGGGAGUACGGCCGCAAGGCUAAAACUCAAAAGAAUUGACGGGGGCUCACACAAGCGGUGGAGCAUGUGGAUUAAUUCGAAGCAACGCGAAGAACCCUACCUGGGUUUGACAUGUUUGGAUGCCCUCUUGGAAACAGGAGUAAGCUGCCUUCGGGUGAAACUUACACAGGUGCUGCAUGGCUGUCGUCAGCUCGUGCUGUGAAGUGUCGGGUUAAGUCCCUUAAAGAGCGAAACCCCUAUCGUUAGUUACUAACGCGCAUGCCGGGGACUCUAGCGAGACUGCCGGCGUCAAGUCGGAGGAAGGUGGGGACGACGUCAAGUCAUCGUGGCCCUUAUGUCCAGGGUGUCACACGUGCUACAAUGGUCGGUACAGAGCGACGCAAUACCGCGAGGUGGAGCAAAUCGCAGAAAACCGGCCCCAGUUCGGAUUGGAUUCUGCAACUCGACUCCAUGAAGUUGGAAUCGCUAGUAAUCGCGUAUCAGCCAUGACGCGGUGAAUGUGUUCCUGAGCCUUGUACACACCGCCCGUCAAGUCAUGGAAGCUGGGAGUACCCGAAGUCCGCUUAGCUAACCGCAAGGAGGCGGCGGCCGACGGUAAGACCGGUGACUGGGACUAAGUCGUAACAAGGUAACC
This 1506-nucleotide ribosomal RNA is filed under the name uncultured prokaryote. RNAcentral's name for it is "partial 16S ribosomal RNA". It matches the Rfam family "Bacterial small subunit ribosomal RNA". The record is from RNAcentral.